UUAAAAGUAAGUUAAUUUAAACUUUGGACCUGUGGAGUCCACAAUUCUUAAAGACUUUUGAG
RNAcentral lists this transfer RNA (62 nucleotides) under Bulinus truncatus. RNAcentral describes it as "tRNA-His". Lineage: Eukaryota; Metazoa; Mollusca; Gastropoda; Planorbidae. The record is from RNAcentral.